Molecule: non-coding RNA, 4236 nt
Organism: Zootermopsis nevadensis
Lineage: Eukaryota; Metazoa; Arthropoda; Insecta; Blattodea; Termopsidae
Source: RefSeq, a predicted model, not a curated record
CGGAAGGUUUGGUGCGGGCGGUGAGGCCGAACGGCUGGCCGACUCGUCGGACCUGGCCGGCGAGAUGCUGCGACCCCCCAGGCUGUCGCUGCUUAUGCUGCCCUCGCACUUGCUCUGUACAUGCGGACAGUGCAUGCAAUUACCUGGGUGCCUCAGCUCAUAUUUGUUGGGGUCAAGGUUCUUCUCUUUGCACGUCUGGCGAAGGAUGUCGGACAGGAGGGUCCUCGGACUGACCCGCAUCACGUACAGUUGGUUCCGCGGCAAAUGCACCUGCGACACGGAAAUGAGGCAUCGUUCCUUGGCGUCGCGGCGUUCGGAAACACGUCCACAGUCUCCAGAGACGUCGCCGUCUGCGUCUUUUGAAGCGUCUUUUGAGACACAAUAAGUUCACAGCUCUCAUCAUCACCACUGCCUCACCCUGCAGACAGCAGACAGUCAACUGUUUGAACAGUUACAGACACAAUUUCGAAAGCUGAGCUUAGUUCAUUUGCACGUGAAACUUACACUUAUCAUUGGGGAUUGAGAGUUGGUACAGUAACGUCUUGUAUUCAGAAUUUAUUCUGUUCCAUUUAUCUUUACUCAAUUUUUACCUGGUUUUCUUCAGUUUCUCAGAGAACCUCAUGUAAGUAGCUUAUAUCGCAUAGCGUUCUUCAUUUGUCUUGCUGUUCGUGUCCUUUUACGUCUAAUGCUGGUAUUAACUCAGUUUAAUUUAGGUGUUUUAACAAUUUUAAUCAUUCAGUAAGUCUGCAUUUUGUCAACAGAAGAAGCAGCGAUUAUUUCUUUAAACACCGUUAAUCACUUGAUCUUUGUAAUGGUGAAGUGUUGUUUUCUUCGCGGUACGGACUGAACUCAUAUGUUAUUUAGACGAACGUCGGUCUUCAAAUAGUUAAAUGUCUCUCCGAUCAGGAAUGACUGCUGAAAAUGGCUUGAUUCAAAUUUUCACUCAGUGUUCUUCAGAUUUUCUGAAUGAUGUUAACUCGCUGAUGACAUCACUUCACCAUUACAAACACAUACAUGUAGAUAAAUUGCUUAAUUUUGUUUAAGGAAAUAAUCGCUGUUUAUUUUGAGGGUCAUUAGAAACUCAUAAAUACAUUCUGAGGACGAAAUAUUCAGUUUUUGAAUACAAAAAUAGGUGGUACAUAUAUUUACCACCAUGCUUGAAAGAGUUAAGUAAAGCUGGUGGAAAACAUACAUCCGCGAAGUGCAUCUCGUAACAAAAUGCAGACAUCACUGUGACGAACGGGAUUAGAACUCGGUACCCAACUGUUUGUGAGAGUACAAACAUCGAUUCAUUGAAGUGUCCAGCAAAAUUUCCCGUUCUUGGGUACGUACAUUCAUCUUCUCGUCUCAUUCCACGAUAAUCUGUGUAAUAUGGAAACAAAGAAAUAAGGCAGACCUACGUAUGGUCACAGGACCGUAACAGGUUCAACGGGGUCAAAGUAUAAAGUGUGCUGUUAGAAGAAUAAAUACUGGGAAAUCAUUUGAGUGCUUAAUUUACGGAAUAGAAGAUUUUGUUUCAUGAGUUCGCCGUCACGUUGCGGCAACUUAUCCGACACGUGAGUGUCGCGUGUAGUCGUAUCAGUGAGCUGCAGGCGCACUGACCUUCAUUGUGCACAAACUUUUUCCGCGUCUAAUAAUAACAGUCUGUCCUGAAAACGUGACAAAGUUAAGAUGUCAGUGAACGACGGACGGUAACUAACCAAAUUUAGAUUCUUGAGGAGGUUAAGAGCAGUUCACAAAUAUUUUUGUCCCCGCCUGUUGUCUAAAAACGUAAAGGUUAAACAGUUAAAAAUAAAACAUUAUUUUAUUUUUGUCUUCUAUGGGUGUCUUCGAUUAAGGGAUGAGGGGUUGCGUGAUUUGCCUUCGGCACAUAGUAUUCGGACAGUCUAUCAAGUAGGAUGAAAUGGGCGGGGCAUGCAGCGGGCGGAGGGGAGAUGAUAAUAUGUACAGAAUUAUAGUUCGAAAGCCUGAAGGGAAAAAACCACACGGAAGACCUAACCAUAGAUGGAAGGAAUGGUGUGGAUUGGAUUAAUCUGGAUCAGCACUGGCAUCAGAGGCGGGGGGCUAAGAAUGGACAGAGCCUUGCCACCAUAUUCCCCUACGCCCUAAUUUUGUGAUGUUUAAGCAUGUUACAAUUUGGUAUAAUUCGUUACAAAAACACCGAGAAACAUUCUUGUACAUGCAUUAAAAAUUAUUAUUUUCCUGCAAAAUGUUUUGUUUACUUUCGUAAAACUUUUUUUAUUCCCGAAACGUCGUUUUGCCCUUCUUUCGCCCCUGAACAUCGUCGUUAAAAUACCAAACACAAGUGAUUUAGAGGGAAACGGAAUUAUAUUUAGUUUUUGAAUGAAAGUAUUGCUGUAUUUUAUAACACUACGUCAUAAAAAUGUCUCGCUCUGUUGGCGGAAAAUCAAGAGUUUAAAAAAGAAUUAUGUGAGGCGAUUGUUUUCGGACGCCAUCGGAUGAUCAUUGAGGCCAAAAAAAGUCGAAUAACGCUAUGCGCUGCCAUGGAGACGCUUUAACGCUCACUCACUUUCACUUGUUUGUAGCCUGACACGGGGCUACACGGUUUUGCGUAGUCCAUCGGUCAAAGCUUUGAAUUAACGUGUUAAGAGUUUAAAGCAAUAAGUUAUUCGCUGUCCAGUAUCUAUUACGCCCAGUCCCCCCCCCCACACACACACUUUAUUCUAAAAUACUUGCUUUUAGUUAUGAAUUAUUCGUAUUAGUAACUUUUUCAGUUCCAAAAUCACGUUUCAUAAGUUCUGUUCAUUUUCCAUCCACUUACAUUCUGCUCUAUGAAUAUUUCUUCCACGUAUUGUCGUUAUUUCGUAUUACUAAAUAAUAAUUUUAAAAUCAUUUCGAAAUAAAAUAUACGGCUGUGGAUAUGUCGAUGUUGUUGUUUCGGAGGAACAUACCAUCUCCAUCUUCAAGACUAGUUACUAUAAGAGUAAUAUUUUAAUAUCUGAACAAUAUUACACACGAAACGACUUUUCUCUCUACGUAUUUCGCUAAGACCAUCUGAAGUACUGAGACCGGAACAAUCCGGAUUCUAGGUGUUGAAAUAAAUGCUGAGGAAUUCGUAAUUAAUCACACUUUUUCCAUAAGCGGAAAUAAUAGUAAUAAUAAUAAUAGCUAAUAAAGCAGAAAUUAACUUCAAAAUACAAAGAUCUGUUUGUUCAAAUACAACUAAAGUGGAAAGUCUCCGAGAGACUGGUUGUACUUAUGAAGAAAUAAUAUUAAAAAAACUCCAUUAAACAUUUUACGUCUGUACGUAGAAGUUGUUCCCGGGUUUUUUUAAGCACGUAUCAAUUUAUGCUCGCGUGUGAAAACUUUAUUUUCUCAACAUUUAAUAAGCUGUUCUUUUUUUUUAUUAAAGAAACCUUCUGUUAGAAUGUUCCCAUGGUAACAUAUAAUUUCAAUUGUUGAAUAGUUUGCUGUAACUGUUGAUCGGUGGGAGUUCGAAUCUGCACGGACGAAUGCUGGAUAGUACAUUAAAAUAUGCCAUGACCACUUCCUUCAAAGUCCUUACUUAUUCACUGUUCAUGAUCACUUUAUUUUACAUAAAGGAAAAAAAACGUUUUAGUUGAAAAUGCACUAUCACAUAACCUGCAAAUCGCAAUUAUUUCUCACGGCGAAGUCUGAAUUAUUCCAGGUGACAAUUUAGUAAAUGCGUUAACUUUCCAACACUUCGUUCGGCGAUACGUGUUUUACUAAGCAGCAGCAGGUGACUGCAUACAACGUAUUUGAGAUGACAGCAAAAUAGCUAAAUCUGCAAUAUAAUGGGCCAAAACAUAUGCCUUAACGAUAAUAUAGAAGCUAAAGUCACAGUACAUUAUAAUAACACAACGCCAGAACAGGGUAGACCAUGACACUACAUAAAUAAUAUGAUAAGUAUAACUGGCUACAACGCUACAUUCAUUGUAAAAAUUAAAUCACUACAAAUGUACAAAAGCACACCGACAAAUCAGACAAAAUGAGAAUACGUACCAAGCUGCAGACGGCAGACAAAAUCACGCAGUGCACUAACACGGUCUUCUCCAUCCGACAUCGCGCCAAGCUGAGAAGCGGAUGUGACGUAACAUGACCACAGGACUCAACAUCGGUCCACUAUUAUUUGAGCCAUUGUUAAUUCGAGCUGCGUGUUUUCAGCAGCUGAGCGAACGUUGCCCUGGUUAGUACAGAGUUAGACGAAUAACUGACAGGAAGUUGGCUUGAUCUAUGGACAUUCGGUAGGACUCC